This 510-nucleotide ribosomal RNA is filed under the name Hyperolius ocellatus (golden-eyed reed frog). Its description in RNAcentral is "partial 16S ribosomal RNA". It matches the Rfam family "Bacterial large subunit ribosomal RNA", at positions 1924 to 2608 of the family's 2925-position model. The record is from RNAcentral. Lineage: Eukaryota; Metazoa; Chordata; Amphibia; Anura; Hyperoliidae.
UUUACGGCCGCGGUAUCUUGACCGUGCAAAGGUAGCACAAUUAAUUGUCCCCUAAAUAGGAACUAGAAUGAACGGCAUCACGAGGGUUUGACUGUCUCCCUACUUUAAUCAAUAAAAUUGAUUUUCCCGUGAAGAAGCGGGAAUAUAAAUAUAAGACGAAAAGACCCCAUGGAGCUUUAAACUUAUCAUCACUUAUCAAAAUUUUAAAACACCACUGAUAAAUAUGAGUGAUAGUUUUCGGUUGGGGCGACCCUGGAGAAAAACAAAUCCUCCAAGCUGUAAAAUAAAAAUAUGCUAGAGCAACAACUCAAACAAUCAAAACCUUGACAAAAUGACCCAGAAUGUAUCUGAUCAACGAACCAAGUUACCCUGGGGAUAACAGCGCAAUCCAUUUCAAGAGCCCCUAUCGACAAAUGGGUUUACGACCUCGAUGUUGGAUCGGGAUGUCCUAGCAACGCAGCCGCUGCUAAGGGUUCGUUUGUUCAACGAUUAAUAUCCCACGUGAUCUGA